GGGUUGUGAGGUUAAGCGACUAAGCGUACACGGUGGAUGCCCUGGCAGUCAGAGGCGAUGAAGGACGUGCUAAUCUGCGAUAAGCGUCGGUAAGGUGAUAUGAACCGUUAUAACCGGCGAUUUCCGAAUGGGGAAACCCAGUGUGAUUCGUCACACUAUCAUUAACUGAAUCCAUAGGUUAAUGAGGCGAACCGGGGGAACUGAAACAUCUAAGUACCCCGAGGAAAAGAAAUCAACCGAGAUUCCCCCAGUAGCGGCGAGCGAACGGGGAGCAGCCCAGAGCCUGAAUCAGUGUGUGUGUUAGUGGAAGCGUCUGGAAAGGCGCGCGAUACAGGGUGACAGCCCCGUACACAAAAAUGCACAUGCUGUGAGCUCGAUGAGUAGGGCGGGACACGUGGUAUCCUGUCUGAAUAUGGGGGGACCAUCCUCCAAGGCUAAAUACUCCUGACUGACCGAUAGUGAACCAGUACCGUGAGGGAAAGGCGAAAAGAACCCCGGCGAGGGGAGUGAAAAAGAACCUGAAACCGUGUACGUACAAGCAGUGGGAGCACGCUUAGGCGUGUGACUGCGUACCUUUUGUAUAAUGGGUCAGCGACUUAUAUUCUGUAGCAAGGUUAACCGAAUAGGGGAGCCGAAGGGAAACCGAGUCUUAACUGGGCGUUAAGUUGCAGGGUAUAGACCCGAAACCCGGUGAUCUAGCCAUGGGCAGGUUGAAGGUUGGGUAACACUAACUGGAGGACCGAACCGACUAAUGUUGAAAAAUUAGCGGAUGACUUGUGGCUGGGGGUGAAAGGCCAAUCAAACCGGGAGAUAGCUGGUUCUCCCCGAAAGCUAUUUAGGUAGCGCCUCGUGAAUUCAUCUCCGGGGGUAGAGCACUGUUUCGGCAAGGGGGUCAUCCCGACUUACCAACCCGAUGCAAACUGCGAAUACCGGAGAAUGUUAUCACGGGAGACACACGGCGGGUGCUAACGUCCGUCGUGAAGAGGGAAACAACCCAGACCGCCAGCUAAGGUCCCAAAGUCAUGGUUAAGUGGGAAACGAUGUGGGAAGGCCCAGACAGCCAGGAUGUUGGCUUAGAAGCAGCCAUCAUUUAAAGAAAGCGUAAUAGCUCACUGGUCGAGUCGGCCUGCGCGGAAGAUGUAACGGGGCUAAACCAUGCACCGAAGCUGCGGCAGCGACGCUGAUGCGUUGUUGGGUAGGGGAGCGUUCUGUAAGCCUGUGAAGGUGUACUGUGAGGUAUGCUGGAGGUAUCAGAAGUGCGAAUGCUGACAUAAGUAACGAUAAAGCGGGUGAAAAGCCCGCUCGCCGGAAGACCAAGGGUUCCUGUCCAACGUUAAUCGGGGCAGGGUGAGUCGACCCCUAAGGCGAGGCCGAAAGGCGUAGUCGAUGGGAAACAGGUUAAUAUUCCUGUACUUGGUGUUACUGCGAAGGGGGGACGGAGAAGGCUAUGUUGGCCGGGCGACGGUUGUCCCGGUUUAAGCGUGUAGGCUGGUUUUCCAGGCAAAUCCGGAAAAUCAAGGCUGAGGCGUGAUGACGAGGCACUACGGUGCUGAAGCAACAAAUGCCCUGCUUCCAGGAAAAGCCUCUAAGCAUCAGGUAACAUCAAAUCGUACCCCAAACCGACACAGGUGGUCAGGUAGAGAAUACCAAGGCGCUUGAGAGAACUCGGGUGAAGGAACUAGGCAAAAUGGUGCCGUAACUUCGGGAGAAGGCACGCUGAUAUGUAGGUGAAGUCCCUCGCGGAUGGAGCUGAAAUCAGUCGAAGAUACCAGCUGGCUGCAACUGUUUAUUAAAAACACAGCACUGUGCAAACACGAAAGUGGACGUAUACGGUGUGACGCCUGCCCGGUGCCGGAAGGUUAAUUGAUGGGGUCAGCGCAAGCGAAGCUCUUGAUCGAAGCCCCGGUAAACGGCGGCCGUAACUAUAACGGUCCUAAGGUAGCGAAAUUCCUUGUCGGGUAAGUUCCGACCUGCACGAAUGGCGUAAUGAUGGCCAGGCUGUCUCCACCCGAGACUCAGUGAAAUUGAACUCGCUGUGAAGAUGCAGUGUACCCGCGGCAAGACGGAAAGACCCCGUGAACCUUUACUAUAGCUUGACACUGAACAUUGAGCCUUGAUGUGUAGGAUAGGUGGGAGGCUUUGAAGUGUGGACGCCAGUCUGCAUGGAGCCGACCUUGAAAUACCACCCUUUAAUGUUUGAUGUUCUAACGUGGACCCGUGAUCCGGGUUGCGGACAGUGUCUGGUGGGUAGUUUGACUGGGGCGGUCUCCUCCUAAAGAGUAACGGAGGAGCACGAAGGUUGGCUAAUCCUGGUCGGACAUCAGGAGGUUAGUGCAAUGGCAUAAGCCAGCUUGACUGCGAGCGUGACGGCGCGAGCAGGUGCGAAAGCAGGUCAUAGUGAUCCGGUGGUUCUGAAUGGAAGGGCCAUCGCUCAACGGAUAAAAGGUACUCCGGGGAUAACAGGCUGAUACCGCCCAAGAGUUCAUAUCGACGGCGGUGUUUGGCACCUCGAUGUCGGCUCAUCACAUCCUGGGGCUGAAGUAGGUCCCAAGGGUAUGGCUGUUCGCCAUUUAAAGUGGUACGCGAGCUGGGUUUAGAACGUCGUGAGACAGUUCGGUCCCUAUCUGCCGUGGGCGCUGGAGAACUGAGGGGGGCUGCUCCUAGUACGAGAGGACCGGAGUGGACGCAUCACUGGUGUUCGGGUUGUCAUGCCAAUGGCACUGCCCGGUAGCUAAAUGCGGAAGAGAUAAGUGCUGAAAGCAUCUAAGCACGAAACUUGCCCCGAGAUGAGUUCUCCCUGACUCCUUGAGAGUCCUGAAGGAACGUUGAAGACGACGACGUUGAUAGGCCGGGUGUGUAAGCGCAGCGAUGCGUUGAGCUAACCGGUACUAAUGAACCGUGAGGCUUAACCUUACAACGCCGAAG
This 2925-nucleotide ribosomal RNA is filed under the name Escherichia coli. RNAcentral's name for it is "23S ribosomal RNA". It matches the Rfam family "Bacterial large subunit ribosomal RNA". The record is from RNAcentral. Lineage: Bacteria; Pseudomonadati; Pseudomonadota; Gammaproteobacteria; Enterobacterales; Enterobacteriaceae.